GAAAUGUGAUAAGUAAUGUGAAUUGCAGAAUUCAGUGAAUCAUCGAAUCUUUGAACGCACCUUGCGCUCCUUGGUAUUCCUUGGAGCAUGCCUGUUUGAGUAUCAUGAAAUCUUCAAAGUAAAUCUUUUGUUAACUCAAUUGGUUUCUACUUUGGUAUUGGAGGUCUUUGCAGCUUCACACCUGCUCCUCUUUGUUCAUUAGCUGGAUCUCAGUGUUAUGCUUGGUUCCACUCGGCGUGAUAAGUUAUCUAUCGCUGAGGACACUGUAAAAGGUGGCCAAGGUAAAUGCAGAUGAACCGCUUCUAAUAGUCCAUUGACUUGGACAAUACUUUUAUGAUCUGAUCUCAAAUCAGGUAGGACUACCCGCUGAACUUAAG
RNAcentral lists this unclassified non-coding RNA (377 nucleotides) under plant metagenome. RNAcentral's name for it is "partial contains 5.8S ribosomal RNA, internal transcribed spacer 2, and large subunit ribosomal RNA". The stretch from base 1 to 105 matches the Rfam family "5.8S ribosomal RNA", at positions 50 to 154 of the family's 154-position model. The record is from RNAcentral.